RNAcentral lists this unclassified non-coding RNA (436 nucleotides) under uncultured fungus. RNAcentral's name for it is "partial contains 5.8S ribosomal RNA and internal transcribed spacer 2". The stretch from base 1 to 134 matches the Rfam family "5.8S ribosomal RNA", at positions 22 to 154 of the family's 154-position model. The record is from RNAcentral. Lineage: Eukaryota; Fungi.
UGGCUCUCGCAUCGAUGAAGAACGCAGCGAAAUGUGAUACGUAGUGUGAAUUGCAGAAUUCAGUGAAUCAUCGAAUCUUUGAACGCAUCUUGCGCUCCCUGGUUAUUCCGAGGAGCAUGUCUGUUUGAGUGUCGUGUAAACUCUCAAUCUCCCCAUUUCUUGCCCUUGUGCUCGAAAUGGGCUUCAGAUUGGAUCAUGACUUUUGCCGUCCCUUCUUUCAAUCACUUGGAGGCGGGACAGCUAGGUCAAAAUGUAGGCAAGUGCCCAAACCAUGUUUCGCAUGGGUAUCGGUCGGCUUGAAACUCGACGUUGUAAUCUCCUCGUUGAGCGACGACUGUUCCCAAUUGCUGGCGUGUGUUGCACUUUGAAAUCUGUGCAUCUCUCUCCUUGCGGAGGCGAGCAAAUUGACCUCAAAUCAGGCAGGACUACCCGCUGA